UGAAUGUGAGGGAUAUCAUUAGAGAAUUUUAAAAGUCAAGGACAAUUAUGGGUAACUCGCCCAAUCUCAGGGAUCAAUUUGGGGUUUUAGUCAAGAAGAUGGCUAUUUGUGGAGGCUCUCUGGCUAACCGUCCUCCAAGAAACCCUCAUCCCAAAACUCAAGCUCACACCCACAUACAUAUUUAUUCUCACUCCUCUUCACUUUCUUCACCAGUUCCCAAGAAUAUGGCCCAAACGAAGAAUCCUACUUGCUGUUCCAAAGCCACAUCUCCAGAUGCUGGUACUUCUACGAAAAAUGGGGCUAAGGGUAAGAAACCAAUGGCGGAGGAAGAACCUAAAAUGUCUCCUCAUCCUCGAUUCUCCUCAUCCACGAGGAUGUUCUGCUGACAAAGCUUCCUCAAAUCGUUCUAAUAAAGUUCCAUCGAAUGGAAUACUUGGCCAGAAUAUUAUCAAUAAGAUAGGGGCGACCUUUGGGAGUCUUCGUGUACUUUUUUAAGAAAAAAAAAUUGCGAUCCUUCCUUUCGACAAUUUUUGAGCUGCACCUCCUAGAUUUCCUCAGUUCUAAGUCCUUAUAUCUAUUAAUAUUCAGGAAAACAUUGUUUUGCUAGUCUAUUUAGUUUGUAUUAACAACAAAUCACACAUUACAAAAGCUAAUCUCAAGGUUAAAGAAUUUCACAAUUUUUUAUUCAUAUGCUAUACAUGAGCAAUUUCCUUUAUAAUGACGAUAUCUGUUCAAGUAAAUUGAAAUAUUAAAUUUCUGUUGAUCUCUCUGCAUUCCUCGGGUGCUUGAGCUUCUUGGUUGUAUCGCUAGCACUAUCAGUGACAUAUUACACAUACAAGAAAGGAGUGGCACCAGGCAACAACAAUCAGAAAACCCCAAAAAA
Molecule: non-coding RNA, 883 nt
Organism: Arachis ipaensis
Lineage: Eukaryota; Viridiplantae; Streptophyta; Magnoliopsida; Fabales; Fabaceae
Source: RefSeq, a predicted model, not a curated record